Solanum verrucosum is the source of this 618-nucleotide long non-coding RNA. RefSeq lists it as uncharacterized. The transcript is spliced from 3 exons. The record is from RefSeq and is a predicted model, not a curated record. Lineage: Eukaryota; Viridiplantae; Streptophyta; Magnoliopsida; Solanales; Solanaceae.
UGAAUAUGGAGCAACUAAAUGUCUUAGAUUUAUUAGGUCAGCUGUCUCGCAGGGUAGUUGGCAUGAGUACCCAUAGUCAUUGACAAGAAGUGUCUGUAAAUUCUUGAGGUUGCCAAUGGAAGAGGGAAUAUCAUAGAUACCUCUCAAUCUUAAGAACUUGAGGUGGUACAAACUUCCUAUGGCAUCAGGUACUAUAGGCAUAUUCCCAACAUGCAUAUCCAAGUGCAACACAUAUAAAUGUUGGAACAUAAUUGACCUCAACUUACGAAAAUCUGGAUCGAAGACCAUAAUUGACCUCAACUUUAAGUUAGAAAGAUCAAGAGAGGGGUACCUUUCUCCUUGACUAUGAAUGACAUGUCUGAUACAUAAAGAGGAUAUGGAGUGGCUUUUUGGAUCAUAAAUGUCAAAAAAGUUUACCUCCAAUGCCUUUUGUAUCACAAGAUCAUGGAGUAAAUCAUGCACCCUACAUUCAGUAACCCUUUCCCAAAAUGUAUUAGCCACUUGAACCAAGCUUCGUCUUAUCAGCUCAUUCAAGAAGCCUUCAGCGACAUCCUCCAUUCUUUCUUCUCCUCUAGGUAUGAAACCCUCGGCCAUCCACAACCAUGUUAUGUUAUCAGC